AAGCGAACGCUGGCGGCAGGCUUACCUCAUGCAAGUCGAGCGGGCAUAGCAAUAUGUCAGCGGCAAACGGGUGAGUAACGCGUGGGAACGUACCUUUUGGUUCGAAACAACACAGGGAAACUUGUGCUAAUACCGGAUAAGCCCUUACGGGGAAAGAUUUAUCGCCAAAAGAUCGGCCCGCGUCUGAUUAGCUAGUUGGUGAGGUAAUGGCUCACCAAGGCGACAAUCAGUAGCUGGUCUGAGAGGAUGAUCAGCCACAUUGGGACUGAAACACGGCCCAAACUCCUACGGGAGGCAGCAGUGGGGAAUAUUGGACAAUGGGCGCAAGCCUGAUCCAGCCAUGCCGCGUGAGUGAUGAAGGCCCUAGGGUUGUAAAGCUCUUUUGUGCGGGAAGAUAAUGACGGUACCGCAAGAAUAAGCCCCGGCUAACUUCGUG
RNAcentral lists this ribosomal RNA (436 nucleotides) under uncultured bacterium. RNAcentral describes it as "bacterial SSU rRNA". It matches the Rfam family "Bacterial small subunit ribosomal RNA", at positions 29 to 507 of the family's 1533-position model. The record is from RNAcentral.